AUACGGAGGGUGCAAGCGUUAAUCGGAAUUACUGGGCGUAAAGAGUACGUAGGUGGUUUGUUAAGUCAGAUGUGAAAGCCCCGGGCUCAACCUGGGAACUGCAUUUGAAACUGGCAAACUAGAGUAUGGUAGAGGGGGGUAGAAUUUCUAGUGUAGCGGUGAAAUGCGUAGAUAUUAGAAGGAAUACCAGUGGCGAAGGCGGCCCCCUGGACCAAUACUGACACUGAGGUACGAAAGCGUGGGUAGCGAACAGGAUUAGAAACCCUAGUAGUCC
This 274-nucleotide ribosomal RNA is filed under the name uncultured bacterium. RNAcentral's name for it is "partial 16S ribosomal RNA". It matches the Rfam family "Bacterial small subunit ribosomal RNA", at positions 523 to 796 of the family's 1533-position model. The record is from RNAcentral.